Molecule: ribosomal RNA, 429 nt
Filed under: Actinomycetes bacterium
Lineage: Bacteria; Bacillati; Actinomycetota; Actinomycetes
Description: Actinobacteria bacterium partial 16S ribosomal RNA
Rfam family: Bacterial small subunit ribosomal RNA
Source: RNAcentral
UAGGGAAUCUUCCGCAAUGGGCGAAAGCCUGACGGAGCAACGCCGCGUGAGUGAUGAAGGUCUUCGGAUCGUAAAACUCUGUUAUUAGGGAAGAACAAAUGUGUAAGUAACUAUGCACGUCUUGACGGUACCUAAUCAGAAAGCCACGGCUAACUACGUGCCAGCAGCCGCGGUAAUACGUAGGUGGCAAGCGUUAUCCGGAAUUAUUGGGCGUAAAGCGCGCGUAGGCGGUUUGUUAAGUCUGAUGUGAAAGCCCACGGCUCAACCGUGGAGGGUCAUUGGAAACUGGAAAACUCGAGUGCAGAAGAGGAAAGUGGAAUUCCAUGUGUAGCGGUGAAAUGCGCAGAGUUAUGGAGGAACACCAGUGGCGAAGGCGACUUUCUGGUCUGUAACUGACGCUGAUGUGCGAAAGCGUGGGGAUCAAACAGG